This 1743-nucleotide ribosomal RNA is filed under the name Candidatus Sumerlaeota bacterium. RNAcentral describes it as "partial 23S ribosomal RNA". It matches the Rfam family "Bacterial large subunit ribosomal RNA", at positions 1 to 1721 of the family's 2925-position model. Lineage: Bacteria; Candidatus Sumerlaeota. The record is from RNAcentral.
GGGCAAGUUACUGAGGGCGCACGGGGGAUGCCUUGGCACUGGAAGUCGAUGAAGGACGUGGCAAGCUGCGAAAAGCCCAGGGGAGUGGCAAACACACGCUGAUCCUGGGAUCUCCGAAUGGGGCAACCCACCGCGGGUCAUGCCGCGGUAUCCGCCACUGAAUGCAUAGGUGGCGGAGGGCAACCCGGGGAAGUGAAACAUCUCAGUACCCGGAGGAAGAGAAAGAAACCUCGAUUCCCUGAGUAGUGGCGAGCGAAAGGGGAUCAGCCCAAACCGCCGGAGCCUCGGUUCCGGCGGGGUUGUGGGACGGUCCGCUCAGGACCAUGACGGCGAGACGAACAUGCUGGAUAUGCAUGGCCACAGAGGGUGAAAGCCCCGUAGUCGAAGCCGAAAUGGCCCUGGACCGCACCCGAGUAAGGCGGGACACGUGAAACCCCGUCUGAAUCUGGGGGGACCACCCCCCAAGGCUAAACACUCUCCAGUGACCGAUAGUGAACCCAGUACCGUGAGGGAAAGGUGAAAAGCAGCCCGAGAGGGCAGUGAAAUAGUACCUGAAACCGUGUGUCCACAAGCAGUCGGAGCACCGUGACCGGGCUUGCUCGGUCCGUGCGACGGCGUGCCUUUUGCAUAAUGAUCCGGCGACUUACUCCUCAGCAGCGAGGUUAAGGACCUCUGGUCCGGAGCCGCAGCGAAAGCGAGUCUGAACAGGGCGAACAGUUGCUGGGGGUAGACCCGAAGCGAGGUGAUCUAGCCAUGGCCAGGCUGAAGUCGGGGUUACACCCGAUGGAGGGCCGAACCAGUGUACCUUAAAAAGUGCUUGGAUGAGCUGUGGCUAGGGGUGAAAGGCCAAUCAAACCUCGUGAUAGCUGGUUCUCCUCGAAAUGUUUUGAGGAACAGCCUCAGGCGUUUCGUCGUGGAGGUAGAGCACUGCGUGGACUAGGGGGCCCACAAGCUUACCGAACCCAUGCAAACUCCGAAUGCCACGACGUCAGAGCCUGGGAGUGAGUCCACGGGGGAUAAGCUCCGUGGUCGAGAGGGAAACAACCCAGAUCGUCGGCUAAGGCCCCCAAGUCUGUGCUAAGUGCAUAAGGAGGUGGAGUCUCGAAGACAACCAGGAGGUUGGCUUAGAAGCAGCCAUUCCUUGAAAGAGUGCGUAACAGCUCACUGGUCGAGUGACUCCGCGCCGAAAAUGAGACGGGACUGAAGCACAGCGCCGAAGCCGCGGGUCGAUGGCUUGCCAUCGGCGGUAGAGGAGCGCUCUGCGUGCAUUGAAGGUCGACCGAAAGGACGGCUGGAGCGCGCUGAGGCGAGUAUGCCGGAAUCAGUAACGACAAACCGAGCGAGAAACUCGGUCGCCGCAAACCCAAGGUUUCCUGGGCAAUGCUAAUCAUCCCAGGGUGAGCCGGCCCCUAAGGCGAGGCCGAGAGGCGUAGCUGAUGGGAAGCAGGGUAGAAAAUUCCUGCGCCACCUGAACCACGUUUGACGAUGGGGUGACGCAGUGUCGAAGGUCAUCCAAGCCGACGGACAAGACUGGUGGACCCGUGAGGGCCGGCGGGGAGGCAAAUCCCCCCGCCACAAGGCCCGGGCGGGCCCCGAGGGCCCUGGUGCCCGAAGUGACCCGAAGCGCUGCCAAGAAACAGCCUCUGAGGAGUGAUUCAGGUGACCGUACCGCAAACCGACACAGGUGGGUGAGGAGAGUAUCCUCAGGCGCUCGGGAGAACCAGGGAGAAGGAACUCGGCAAA